This 506-nucleotide ribosomal RNA is filed under the name uncultured bacterium. Its description in RNAcentral is "bacterial SSU rRNA". It matches the Rfam family "Bacterial small subunit ribosomal RNA", at positions 28 to 507 of the family's 1533-position model. The record is from RNAcentral.
GACGAACGCUGGCGGCGUGCUUAACACAUGCAAGUCGAACGAGGACCAGGGAGCUUGCUCCCUGGAGCCGAGUGGCGAACGGGUGCGUAACACGUGACCAACCUGUCCUAGGGUGGGGGACAACCUGGGGAAACCCGGACUAAUACCGCAUGAUGUCCCGACCUCGCAUGGGGGCGGGAUCAAAGAGGGCCUCUGCUUGCAUGCUCUCGCCCAAGGAGGGGGUCGCGGCGUAUCAGCUUGUUGGUGGGUAAUGGCCUACCAAGGCUACGACGCGUAGUGGGUCUGAGAGGACGACCCGCCACAUUGGGACUGAGAUACGGCCCAGACUCCUACGGGAGGCAGCAGUGGGGAAUAUUGCGCAAUGGCCGAAAGGCUGACGCAGCGACGCCGCGUGUGGGAGUAAGCCCUUCGGGGUGUAAACCACUGUCAGAGGGGAAGAACUUCGCCGUUUCGAAUAGGAACGGCGGUUGACGGUACCCUCAAAGGAAGCGCCGGCUAACUCCGUG